CCUACGGGUGGCUGCAGUGAGGAAUAUUGGUCAAUGGGCGAGAGCCUGAACCAGCCAAGUCGCGUGAGGGAAGACGGUCCUAUGGAUUGUAAACCGCUUUUGCAGGGGAGCAAACCGCGGUACGUGUACCGCAUCGAGAGUACCCGGCGAAUAAGCAUCGGCUAACUCCGUGCCAGCAGCCGCGGUAAUACGGAGGAUCCGAGCGUUAUCCGGAUUUAUUGGGUUUAAAGGGUGCGCAGGCGGCGUGUUAAGUCAGCGGUAAAAUUUCGGGGCUCAACCCCGACAAGCCGUUGACACUGGCUGGCUAGAGAGGGCUAGAGGUAGGCGGAAUGCGUGGUGUAGCGGUGAAAUGCAUAGAUAUCACGCAGAACUCCGAUUGCGAAGGCAGCAUACCGGCGCCCAACUGACGCUCAGGCACGAAAGCGUGGGUAUCGAACAGGAUUAGAUACCCGUGUAGUC
Molecule: ribosomal RNA, 459 nt
Filed under: uncultured bacterium
Lineage: Bacteria
Description: partial 16S ribosomal RNA
Rfam family: Bacterial small subunit ribosomal RNA
Source: RNAcentral